GGGUGCGAUCAUACCAGCGUUAAUGCACCGGAUCCCAUCAGAACUCCGCAGUUAAGCGCGCUUGGGCUAGAGUAGUACUGGGAUGGGUGACCUCCCGUGAAGUCCUAGUGUUGUACCCUC
This 120-nucleotide ribosomal RNA is filed under the name Cedrus deodara (deodar cedar). Lineage: Eukaryota; Viridiplantae; Streptophyta; Pinopsida; Pinales; Pinaceae. The record is from RNAcentral.